AAAAAAGGAGAGAAGGACAUUCCUGG
Molecule: non-coding RNA, 26 nt
Filed under: Cricetulus griseus (Chinese hamster)
Lineage: Eukaryota; Metazoa; Chordata; Mammalia; Rodentia; Cricetidae
Source: RNAcentral